CAAGUCGAACGAUGAAGUUCCUUCGGGAAUGGAUUAGUGGCGAACGGGUGAGGAACACGUGAGAAACCUGCCUUUCAUUCUGGGAUAACACCGGGAAACCGGUGCUAAUACCGGAUACUCCGUCUUGGCGGCAUCGCCGAGCCGGGAAAAAAUUUUGAUGAAAGAUGGUCUCGCGGCCUAUCAGCUAGUUGGUGAGGUAAAGGCUCACCAAGGCGACGACGGGUAGCCGGCCUGAGAGGGCGACCGGCCACACUGGGACUGAGACACGGCCCAGACUCCUACGGGAGGCAGCAGUAGGGAAUAUUGGGCAAUGGGCGCAAGCCUGACCCAGCGACGCCGCGUGAGGGAUGAAGGUCUUCGGAUUGUAAACCUCUUUCAGUAGGGAAGAAGCGAAAGUGACGGUACCUAAAGAAGAAGCACCGGCUAACUAUGUGCCAGCAGCCGCGGUAAUACAUAGGGUGCAAGCGUUGUCCGGAAUUAUUGGGCGUAAAGAGCUCGUAGGUCGUUUGUCGCGUCGAUUGUGAAAAUCUGAGGCUCAACCUCAGACCUGCAGUCGAUACGGGCAAACUAGAGUGUGGUAGGGGAGACUGGAAUUCCUGGUGUAGCGGUGGAAUGCGCAGAUAUCAGGAGGAACACCAAUGGCGAAGGCAGGUCUCUGGGCCAUAACUGACACUGAGGAGCGAAAGUGCGGGGAGCGAACAGGAUUAGAUACCCUGGUAGUCCGCACCGUAAGCGGUGGGCACUAGUUGUGGGAACCUUCCACGGUUUCCGCGACGCAGCUAACGCAUUAAGUGCCCCGCCUGGGGAGUACGAUCGCAAGAUUAAAACUCAAAGGAAUUGACGG
RNAcentral lists this ribosomal RNA (844 nucleotides) under uncultured bacterium. Its description in RNAcentral is "bacterial SSU rRNA". It matches the Rfam family "Bacterial small subunit ribosomal RNA", at positions 58 to 916 of the family's 1533-position model. The record is from RNAcentral.